This 800-nucleotide ribosomal RNA is filed under the name uncultured bacterium. Its description in RNAcentral is "bacterial SSU rRNA". It matches the Rfam family "Bacterial small subunit ribosomal RNA", at positions 44 to 837 of the family's 1533-position model. The record is from RNAcentral.
GGGGAGUCCACCUGGCAGUCCUACGNGAAGUACCUUUGAAGGAGUUUUCGGACAACUGAUAGGACUACUUAGUGGCGGACGGGUGAGUAACGCGUGAGUAACCUGCCUUGGAGUGGGGAAUAACAGCUGGAAACAGCUGCUAAUACCGCAUAAUGCAGUUGGGUCGCAUGGCUCUGACUGCCAAAGAUUUAUCGCUCUGAGAUGGACUCGCGUCUGAUUAGCUAGUUGGCGGGGUAACGGCCCACCAAGGCGACGAUCAGUAGCCGGACUGAGAGGUUGGCCGGCCACAUUGGGACUGAGACACGGCCCAGACUCCUACGGGAGGCAGCAGUGGGGAAUAUUGGGCAAUGGGCGCAAGCCUGACCCAGCAACGCCGCGUGAAGGAAGAAGGCUUUCGGGUUGUAAACUUCUUCUCUCAGGGACGAAGAAAGUGACGGUACCUGAGGAAUAAGCCACGGCUAACUACGUGCCAGCAGCCGCGGUAAUACGUAGGUGGCAAGCGUUAUCCGGAUUUACUGGGUGUAAAGGGAGCGUAGACGGCAGCACAAGUCUGGAGUGAAAUCCCGGGGCUUAACCCCGGAACUGCUUUGGAAACUGUGCGGCUGGAGUGCAGGAGGGGUAAGCGGAAUUCCUAGUGUAGCGGUGAAAUGCGUAAAUAUUAGGAGGAACACCGGUGGCGAAGGCGGCUUACUGGACUGUAACUGACGUUGAGGCUCGAAAGCGUGGGGAGCAAACAGGAUUAGAUACCCUGCUAGUCCACGCCGUAAACGAUGAUUACUAGGUGUCGGGGGAUCAAGGGC